GAUGGACGCUGGCGGCGUGCCUAAUACAUGCAAGUCGAGCGAAUGGAUUAAGAGCUUGCUCUUAUGAAGUUAGCGGCGGACGGGUGAGUAACACGUGGGUAACCUGCCCAUAAGACUGGGAUAACUCCGGGAAACCGGGGCUAAUACCGGAUAACAUUUUGAACCGCAUGGUUCGAAAUUGAAAGGCGGCUUCGGCUGUCACUUAUGGAUGGACCAGCGUCGCAUUAGCUAGUUGGUGAGGUAACGGAUCACCAAGGCAACGAUGCGUAGCCGACCUGGCAGGGUGAUCGGCCACACUGGGACUGAGACACUGCCCAGACUCCUACGGGAGGCAGCAGUAGGGAAGCUUCCGCAAUGGACGAAAGUCUGACGGAGCAACGCCGCGUGAGUGAUGAAGGCUUUCGGGUCGUAAAACUCUGUUGUUAGGGAAGAACAAGUGCUAGUUGAAUAAGCUGGCACCUUGACGGUACCUAACCAGAAAGCCACGGCUAACUACGUGCCAGCCGCCGCGGUAA
This 515-nucleotide ribosomal RNA is filed under the name uncultured bacterium. RNAcentral's name for it is "partial 16S ribosomal RNA". It matches the Rfam family "Bacterial small subunit ribosomal RNA", at positions 28 to 523 of the family's 1533-position model. The record is from RNAcentral.